Molecule: non-coding RNA, 341 nt
Organism: Paramuricea clavata
Lineage: Eukaryota; Metazoa; Cnidaria; Anthozoa; Malacalcyonacea; Plexauridae
Source: the annotation of a GenBank genome assembly
UGGCGAUGUUAUUCAGGCUUUCGCCUUAUGAAUGAUGCAUGAAUUGUCUAGUUGUGCUCAGGCUUUUAUAUACGUUCUGAAUUCUGAUAGGGAAAGAAACUACAAAACUGCGACUCAUUUCCCCUGCGCAAUACAGUUCGUUGAAGCAAGUUUGAGUAAACCACAAAUCGGCCAACGCCAAACCGAGUCAUAUCCGCUACGUUAAUUGUGGGACAUCUUAAUUUUUAAAACUAUUUGCUUACUCAUGCAUGUAAGCUAUUUAAUAUGAAUAUAAGUAUAUAGUAUAAUAAUAUUUAUUAGUAUUUUUGCACAAGUGAACAUAACAAAUCCUACAAGUUGAU